Jatropha curcas is the source of this 669-nucleotide long non-coding RNA. RefSeq lists it as uncharacterized. Lineage: Eukaryota; Viridiplantae; Streptophyta; Magnoliopsida; Malpighiales; Euphorbiaceae. The record is from RefSeq and is a predicted model, not a curated record.
AAACCAUUUCAAUUUUUUUUUCUUUCUUCCCCUCUCCUUCCGGGGUCUGGUCAGAGCGUUCUCCUCCUUCCCGUUCUCCGGCCACCGCUUGACAAGGGCGAAGUGGCGGUCGUCGACUCUCCUAACGCCGCUGGCUCCUUUUCGGCCCCCCUCCACGCAAACAAAGCCUCUGGCGGUGCGAAAACGAGACUGUCUCUGUUGACAGUUCUCGUUCCUCGACCUCCAGCAAAAGCUUGCCGUUUCAGGAAAGCACAGUUCGAGAGAAGGGCAUCGAUCGACUCGUCUCCUUCUGGCUUUGAACAUUUACGGUGUAGUCCGAAUUUCCUGCCACCGUACACGGCGGCGCCAGCGGAGUCUCCAGUGACCGGAGUUUCCAAGAGCCAGAAUUUUGCAAUUUUUUUUUUCGUGUAGAGUAUGAAUAUAUAAUUAGUUUUGCUAUUUGACAUCAAUUGAUAGUUGGAGUGCAAAUUGACGCAAUUUAGGAAUUAGACUGCAGGUUGAAAAAUCGCGAAAUGUCGAUAAUACAAGAACUGUACAAUCUUAGAAAGGUUUGAUUAACUAGUUAGCAAAGUAAUUACAUUUUGUUAGUAUCCAAAAUAAGUUAUAUGUAUGAAUUUAAUAAUAGUUAGGAUGUUUUAGUUUCUAUGAAGUUGAUUAGUGAAUUUGCCA